This is an unclassified non-coding RNA of Cricetulus griseus (Chinese hamster), 251 nucleotides long. Ensembl annotates it as predicted gene, 27572. The record is from Ensembl. NCBI's taxonomy places the organism in Eukaryota, Metazoa, Chordata, Mammalia, Rodentia, Cricetidae.
CCAACCGCCGGGCUAUAAUCUAUGAAACUGAUCCCGGACCCAGCCAAUCAGUUAGCUCCUCAUAACAAGUCUAACUGGCUCUGGACAGCUGAAGGGCUGUGCUGAAGCACGGCAGAGAAGAUAUUCCACACAAUACUUUGCUUAUCUAUACAGUCACUUUGCCUGGAAAGGCCAGAGGGGGAAAAAAAUCACAGCUUCUUUGUUUCAGGAAAGGAGGACAGGUGAUCUGGCACGAACUGAAGCUGGAGCAA